UACGUAGGCAGCAAGCGUUGUUCGGAGUUACUGGGCGUAAAGCGUGCGCAGGCGGUGAUGUAAGACAGGUGUGAAAUCCCCGGGCUUAACCUGGGAACUGCGCUUGUUACUGGCAGGCUUGAGUGUGGCAGAGGGGGGUGGAAUUCCACGUGUAGCAGUGAAAUGCGUAGAGAUGUGGAGGAACACCGAUGGCGAAGGCAGCCCCCUGGGCUAACACUGACGCCUCAUGCACGAAAGCGUGGGGAGCAAACAGG
This 254-nucleotide ribosomal RNA is filed under the name uncultured bacterium. RNAcentral describes it as "partial 16S ribosomal RNA". It matches the Rfam family "Bacterial small subunit ribosomal RNA", at positions 524 to 776 of the family's 1533-position model. The record is from RNAcentral.